GCGGAUGUGGCGGAACUGGCAGACGCACUAGACUUAGGAUCUAGCGGGAAACCGUGCAGGUUCGAUUCCUGUCAUCCGCA
This 80-nucleotide transfer RNA is filed under the name Lachnospiraceae bacterium. Its description in RNAcentral is "tRNA-Leu". It matches the Rfam family "tRNA". From Rfam's summary of the family: Transfer RNA (tRNA) molecules are approximately 80 nucleotides in length. The record is from RNAcentral. Lineage: Bacteria; Bacillati; Bacillota; Clostridia; Lachnospirales; Lachnospiraceae.